Molecule: ribosomal RNA, 1070 nt
Filed under: Rhizophagus intraradices
Lineage: Eukaryota; Fungi; Glomeromycota; Glomeromycetes; Glomerales; Glomeraceae
Description: LSU rRNA
Rfam family: Bacterial large subunit ribosomal RNA
Source: RNAcentral
CCGUUGCAAGGGACUCCGAAGAGCUGUGGCAAGGGGUGAAAAGCCAAUCUAACCUGGAGAUAGCUGGUCUUCUGCGAAACCCGUUUUAGCGGGUCGCCCAUUUAUUGGAAUUAAAUUCGUUACUAGACGGUACGGCACUGGAAGCCACGCAGCUUUUGCUGCAUAAUCGGGGGGCUGUCAUGGCUCUAUCGAUGGCUUCUAACCCCGGAAAUGUAUAGUAUACAAUGAUGGGCAAUCAGACGUAUCGUGAUAAGGCGAUUCGUCAAAAGGGCAACAGCCCGGAACAGGUGUGAAGGUCCCUAACAAGCUACUGAGUGAACACAAGGCAGUCCUCUCCAGUGUCUCUCCACAAAGUGGGCUUGGAAGCAGCCACCUUUUAGCGAUAGCGUAACAGCUCAGUGGUCUGAGCCUCCCUGUAAAAAGGGAAUAUUGCCUGGUGAGGGCGCCAAAAAUGUAACGGGUCUAUAGUAGUUGUCUCUCUGUUCCAGCUUGGAUAUGGAGGGAGUGGCAGUUUCUUCACUGUCUCACCGAAACCCUGUCCUAGAUGUAAAAUUCUAGGGGUAGCAGAAUACCCAGCAAAUGGAAUGAAGCUUGCUCAUUGAGCCGGUGGACAUAGCUGGGCUAAGAAUGCUGACAUGAGUAGCCUAAAAGGAGGGUAAUUCCCUCUUCGCCGAAAGCAGAAGGGUUUCAUUCGUAAGGUCUAUACCUAGAUGAUUAAAGCAGCGGCCUCUAAGGUUCAGAGUAACAAAUUAGUUCCGAUGAGUAACUCUUCUAUAGGGCAGUAACCUUCCUUAUAAGUUUACCUUCAAGUAAUUAGAGGUAUACUUCAAAGAGUAAGGUUCGGGAAAGAGCCCUACAGAAUAAAUCUUAAAACCGUACCCUAAACCGACACAGGUCUGCAAGUAGAGCAUACUAAGGCGUAGAGAUAAUCGUCUUGAAGGAACUCGGCAAAAUGACCCCGUAACUUCGGGAGAAGGGGUGCCACUAAUAAGUGGCGGCACUAAACAGGGGGGCGCGACUGUUUACUUAAAACACCGGACUCUGCUAACACUAGCGUGGAUGUAUAGAGU